Molecule: ribosomal RNA, 491 nt
Filed under: uncultured bacterium
Lineage: Bacteria
Description: partial 16S ribosomal RNA
Rfam family: Bacterial small subunit ribosomal RNA
Source: RNAcentral
AGUGAACGCUGGCGGUAGGCCUAACACAUGCAAGUCGAACGGCAGCACAGUGAGAGCUUGCUCUUACGGGUGGCGAGUGGCGGACGGGUGAGGAAUACAUCGGAAUCUACUUUUUCGUGGGGGAUAACGUAGGGAAACUUACGCUAAUACCGCAUACGACCUACGGGUGAAAGCAGGGGAUCUUCGGACCUUGCGCGAUUGAAUGAGCCGAUGUCGGAUUAGCUAGUUGGCGGGGUAAAGGCCCACCAAGGCGACGAUCCGUAGCUGGUCUGAGAGGAUGAUCAGCCACACUGGAACUGAGACACGGUCCAGACUCCUACGGGAGGCAGCAGUGGGGAAUAUUGGACAAUGGGCGCAAGCCUGAUCCAGCCAUACCGCGUGGGUGAAGAAGGCCUUCGGGUUGUAAAGCCCUUUUGUUGGGAAAGAAAAGCAGCAGGUUAAUACCCCGCUGUUCUGACGGUACCCAAAGAAUAAGCACCGGCUAACUUCGU